UAAUAUUUUCACGACUCUAAAAUUAUGUUUUUUCACGCCUCAAACAUGACACUAUGUCUUUCAUGACAGAUAAUGAGUGAAGACUUUGGGGAGACGGGCGAGUGUAACUACCACAUAGCCACCGAGCCCAUCAGGGCUGCCCCCCUGGCCUUCGCCUUCCCUAAGGGCAGCACCCUCGUUCCUCACUUUAACAAAUGGCUUUUUCAUCGUCAAACAGGAUGGCCCCUUUAAAAGAGUCUGGACUGGUGAGUCGCAGCGUGAUGGAGGUGACCGCCAACGCCACGGCCUGCCUGGUGCCUCCGGGGAAGGAGGAGGGCUAUAAACCAUCACUCAUCCUCACUCUCACUGACUUCGCUGGAAUAUUCCUACUCUUCGCUGCCUGUUUGGUCUUCAGUUUCCUGGUCUUCAUAACGGAGAAGAUACACAGUUGCUGUUCUUACAGAGCAUAGACUGUCUGUAUGGGUAUAUAAUUAUAUACUUAUUGUCCUCUUGGAACAUAACCUGACCUCACAAAGCAUAAAUUGUCCUCACAGAGCAUAAGCCGUCCACCAGAUAUUAAAUGUCCUCACAUAUUAUAAACUAUCCUCAUGAAAUAAACUAGUCUCAUUGGACAUAAACUGCCCUAAAUUAUAAUGAACUGUUUUUGUGCAAUAUAAACUGUGCUCAUGAUGUAUACUCUUCUCACUAACAUAUACUGUCCUUACGGUAUAUAACUGUCCCCACUAAGCAUUAACUGUUCUCACGCUAUUAUAAUAAACUCUCCUCACCAAGUGUAAGCUGUCCUUAAGGUAUAUAAACUGUCCUCACUAAGCAUAAAGUAUCAUUAUAAACUCUUCUCACUAAGCAUAAACUGUCCUCACUACACAUACACUGUCUCCACUAAGCAUAAACUGUCCUAACGGUAUAUAAACUGUCUUCACUAAGUAUAAACUGUCCCCACUCUGAGGUGCUUAUAAAUCGCUAUUAAGUCACCCCUUGCCCGUCUACAGUAUAAGCUAGACAACUGAAGACGUUCGUAUUUCUCUUUGUGAGUGAAAUGCUGUGUAGGCAUCAGUUUGGUGGCCAUCUUUUGCACAUUCUCAGUCAGAAAAAUGAUUAUUCAGUAAAAUCAGCAUGUAAAUUCAAAAUGGUUCAGUAUGUAUGUAGACAGAAGAUGUAUACAAAUAAUAAAUAGUAAACAAUAAGUCGAUUCAAACAAGGAAAUCCCAAAACACAACAAAACUAAUGAAGUUCUCAACAACGACCAAAUUUUCAUAGCAUUAAGACUACUCUUAUUCACUUUUUUAAAUUACUGUAUAUUUUAACUUAUAAGCUUAUUAAAAUCACCAGUAGAUUUAACCUUUCAGCUUAUUUCACUUUAAGAUUAACCACCCCAGCGCUAACCUAACCUAACCUAAUCUCACCUUACCUAGCCUAACCCUCUCCUGGUAGCAUUCAGGUGUUUAUUCAUCAGGUGGGGUAACUUUCUUGUGAUUUUUCCCCAUUGUGUUAAAUAUUACUUGUGCUGUAACGUUU
Molecule: long non-coding RNA, 1515 nt
Organism: Homarus americanus (American lobster)
Lineage: Eukaryota; Metazoa; Arthropoda; Malacostraca; Decapoda; Nephropidae
Exons: 3
Source: RefSeq, a predicted model, not a curated record